GAGAGUGUGGGCGUUCCGGGGAGAGCGCGAGCCGCGCGGCGCGGAGCAAACAGCGCCGAGCCGCCGCCGCCUCAGCAGCAGCAGUAGCAGCGGCCGUGCACGCCCGGGCUGAGGUCGUACAGCGCUAACGUGAGCGGCCGCCGCCCUCGCCGCCCCGCCAGCCCACUCCCGCCGCCGCCCCGCUCUCGCUUUCUCCACAGCCUCCCCUCGUCCCUUCCCCUCCCCCUUCCCGGCGCUCCCGGGGUGCUGGGAACGAGCUGCCAUGUGAUGCGCGUCCCCUCAGCGAGCUUUCGGUGACCCCCGAACCGCCCACCGCGCCGGCUGCCGGGAGGGGGCUGCGGGCCGGGAAGACGCGGGGAAGAGGAGGCGGAAAAGGACGCAAACUUCUCCGGCGAGAGCAGCUGUCUGCUUCAGAAAUUGAGGGCUCCAGGAAUGAGGAGAAUCAUCACGAGCUGCCUCGCAUUGUGGCAUGUCUGAUCCCUUGCUCCUGUCCCUGCAGCAUGAACAAGGUGGACACUCACUGACCUGUCACAAGGUUGACCCACAGAGCUUUGGGGUUCAUGUCUGAAUGGAUUACCGGAGCCUUCUCAUCUCUCCCUUCGCCCAGUUCCCUGCAUCCUAAGACUCGAAGCCAGCACAGGACCUGGAAAAAUUACAUG
Saimiri boliviensis boliviensis (Bolivian squirrel monkey) is the source of this 659-nucleotide non-coding RNA. Lineage: Eukaryota; Metazoa; Chordata; Mammalia; Primates; Cebidae. The record is from RefSeq and is a predicted model, not a curated record.